CCUACGGGGGGCUGCAGUCGAGAAUCAUUCACAAUGGGGGAAACCCUGAUGGUGCGACGCCGCGUGGGGGAAUGAAGGUCUUCGGAUUGUAAACCCCUGUCAUGUGGGAGCAAAUUAAAAAGAUAGUACCACAAGAGGAAGAGACGGCUAACUCUGUGCCAGCAGCCGCGGUAAUACAGAGGUCUCAAGCGUUGUUCGGAAUCACUGGGCGUAAAGCGUGCGUAGGCUGUUUCGUAAGUCGUGUGUGAAAGGCGCGGGCUCAACCCGCGGACGGCACAUGAUACUGCGAGACUAGAGUAAUGGAGGGGGAACCGGAAUUCUCGGUGUAGCAGUGAAAUGCGUAGAUAUCGAGAGGAACACUCGUGGCGAAGGCGGGUUACUGGACAUUAACUGACGCUGAGGCACGAAGGCCAGGGGAGCGAAAGGGAUUAGAUACCCCGGUAGUC
RNAcentral lists this ribosomal RNA (446 nucleotides) under uncultured bacterium. Its description in RNAcentral is "partial 16S ribosomal RNA". It matches the Rfam family "Bacterial small subunit ribosomal RNA", at positions 338 to 795 of the family's 1533-position model. The record is from RNAcentral.